RNAcentral lists this long non-coding RNA (332 nucleotides) under Vitis vinifera (wine grape). Its description in RNAcentral is "long non-coding RNA (VVIN_LNC003103)". The record is from RNAcentral. Lineage: Eukaryota; Viridiplantae; Streptophyta; Magnoliopsida; Vitales; Vitaceae.
UCAAGGAAGCAAGUGAUGAAUGAAUAUGGGGGACUGAAAAGAUCUUACUACAUGGAUCCGCAACCUCUGAACCAUUUUGAGUGGCACCUUUAUGAAUAUGAAAUCAGUAAGUGUGAUGCUUGUGCCUUGUAUAGGUUGGAACUGAAGCUUGUUGAUGGGAAGAAGAGUUCCAAAGCAAAAGCAACAACUGAUUCAGUGGCUGAUCUGCAGAAGCAGAUGGGAAGGCUUACUGCUGAGUUUCCCUUAGAUAACAAGCGCUCUGUUAAAGGAAGGACAAAAAUUAAUAUGAAGGAUGGUGUUGGAGAUGUUUAUUCUACUCCAAAUCGGGUAGG